GAUGAACGCUGGCGGCGUGCCUAAUACAUGCAAGUCGAGCGAACAGACGCGGCGCUUGCGCCUCUGACGUUAGCGGCGGACGGGAGAGUCACACGUGUAUAACCUACCUAUCAGACUGGGAUCACUUCGGGAAACCGGCUAUAAUACCGGAUAAUAUCUUGAACCGCAUGGUUCAAUAGUGAAAGACGGUUUUGGUGGAUCUUAUAGCUGGUUCCCGGCCGUAUUAGCUAGUUGGUACGGUCACGGCUUACCACGGCAACUAUGCGUAACCGACCUGUGUGGCGGAUAGCCCGCCUGGGAACGUGGCCACGGUCCUGACGCCUAAGGUACGCAGCAGUAGGGAACCGUCCGCAGUGGGCGGAAGCAUUACGGAGCAACGCCGCGUGAGAGAUGAAGGUGUCCGGAGCGUAAUACUCUCUUAUUAGGGAAGAACAAAUGUGUAAGUAACUAUGCACGUCUUGACGGUACCUAGUCAGAAAGCCACGGCUAACUACGUG
Molecule: ribosomal RNA, 497 nt
Filed under: uncultured bacterium
Lineage: Bacteria
Description: partial 16S ribosomal RNA
Rfam family: Bacterial small subunit ribosomal RNA
Source: RNAcentral